This 445-nucleotide ribosomal RNA is filed under the name uncultured bacterium. RNAcentral's name for it is "bacterial SSU rRNA". It matches the Rfam family "Bacterial small subunit ribosomal RNA", at positions 28 to 487 of the family's 1533-position model. The record is from RNAcentral.
GACGAACGCUGGCGGCGUGCUUAACACAUGCAAGUCGAACGAUGAAGCCGCUUCGGUGGUGGAUUAGUGGCGAACGGGUGAGUAACACGUGGGUAAUCUGCCCUGCACUCUGGGAUAAGCCUUGGAAACGGGGUCUAAUACCGGAUAUGACACGCGACCGCAUGGUCUGUGUGUGGAAAGUUCCGGCGGUGCAGGAUGAGCCCGCGGCCUAUCAGCUUGUUGGUGGGGUAGUGGCCUACCAAGGCGACGACGGGUAGCCGGCCUGAGAGGGUGACCGGCCACACUGGGACUGAGACACGGCCCAGACUCCUACGGGAGGCAGCAGUGGGGAAUAUUGCACAAUGGGCGAAAGCCUGAUGCAGCGACGCCGCGUGAGGGAUGAAGGCCUUCGGGUUGUAAACCUCUUUCAGUAGGGAAGAAGCGAAAGUGACGGUACCUGCAGAAG